GAUGAAGAACGCAGCGAAAUGCGAUAAGUAAUGUGAAUUGCACAAUUCAGUGAAUCAUCGAAUCUUUGAACGCACAUUGCGCCCGCCAGUAUUCUGGCGGGCAUGCCUGUUCGAGCGUCAUUUCAACCCUCAAGCCCAGCUUGGUGUUGGGGAUCGGCACAGGCGCCCUCGGGCGCCCGCCGUCCCCUAAAUCUAGUGGCGGUCCCGCUCCAGCCUCCUCUGCGUAGUAGUUUUCUCCUCGCAAGGGCAGCUCGGUGGCGACCUCGCCGUAAAACCCCCAACUUCUGAAAGGUUGACCUCGAAUCAGGUAGGAAUACCCGCUGAACUUAAGCAUAUCAAUAAGCGGAGGA
RNAcentral lists this unclassified non-coding RNA (350 nucleotides) under soil metagenome. RNAcentral's name for it is "partial contains 5.8S ribosomal RNA, internal transcribed spacer 2, and large subunit ribosomal RNA". The stretch from base 1 to 120 matches the Rfam family "5.8S ribosomal RNA", at positions 35 to 154 of the family's 154-position model. The record is from RNAcentral.